CUGGAUGUUCUUGACAGAGACUAUUAUGAGGAAUAAACUCCUUAAACCCAGCGGUGUAUAGAAGUUGGCUUCGGCAUACCCUAGCUAUCAAGAGCCAAGCUUCUUACAUUCUCUCCUCCCACAAUCCACUGCUUCCAGAAAAGUCAUUAAAUCACUUAAGAAACUUAGAGGAUUAUAGAUUUAUAAGCAGACAAUUUACUCUAGUAAGACACUGUGACAUUUGAGGCCAUGUUCUGCCAUUCACCCUGGCAUUCAACUUCUGGCAGGAGAGAGAGGAAGCUUGGCUUUCCCGUGGGCAUCAGGUAGCCUGUUUUGAAGAAAACGUCUUUCCGCGGGAGUGUUCCCGCACUCUGGGAAAGCCAUCUGCUAAAGUUAUCAAGGUGUGGAAAACACCCCCACGCUGAACUAGGAUUCAACCUCGACUCGGCAUCUGGAAGCUUCCCACUAAGUCUGUUAGUUCAGUAACAAGCCGCAGGCAUUUGCUGCCCAACAGGUGCAAACCAGCUCCGGGGAGCCACGGAGAAGAACUUGGUCCAUGCUUCUCAGCCCAGGACACUGGGGUGUGUUUACACAGUUAGGUACCGGUGGUCACGGCUUAUUUCUGAGGGAUAAAAGAACAAGUGGGAGACAUAAAUAAAGAGCAUGUUGACAUG
This 653-nucleotide long non-coding RNA is filed under the name Rattus norvegicus (Norway rat). RNAcentral describes it as "long non-coding RNA NONRATT012392". The record is from RNAcentral. Lineage: Eukaryota; Metazoa; Chordata; Mammalia; Rodentia; Muridae.